This is a long non-coding RNA of Populus euphratica (Euphrates poplar), 1552 nucleotides long. RefSeq lists it as uncharacterized. NCBI's taxonomy places the organism in Eukaryota, Viridiplantae, Streptophyta, Magnoliopsida, Malpighiales, Salicaceae. The transcript is spliced from 2 exons. The record is from RefSeq and is a predicted model, not a curated record.
UUAAAUUUUAAGGUUUUUUUUUUUUUAUGUAUUUCGGGUCGGGUAGUACCGAACCCAUCCCUAACCUGAACAAGGGAAAAAAAAUCUUACUCGCUCAUGUCGGUUUGGAUCAGUAUUUAUCGGGUUCGGGUCACCAUCUCUAGUUAAGGCGUAAUCAUAUGAUUCUGUUAUUUUGAGUAUUUCUCUCCUUUUGGGUUCUGCCUGUUGCAUGAUCAUCAUUCUUUCCAUUGUUACAUCUAGUGCUUGAAGCACUGCAAAAUCAUUCCCACUGGCAGCAUCGGCGAUAUUCAGGACUUAUGUUGCUGGCAGUCAUGUGCCAUGUUGCAAAUUACUUCCCUAAGAAAUCUUCUGAGCCGAUUGAUUGCUGAUGAAAUGGAAGAAAAGCAAAGUUGAUUUUCUGGAAGCUUUGUUUACGCAGGCAUUGCGUUCUGCAAGCUUCAACAUCUCCUUACAAUUCCUGUUAAAAACCAAGCUGUACUUGUUAAUGAAAAAUGAGAAACAUUGGAUGUUGAAUUGAUUGUUGCAAUCCAUGACUUGCUGAGCAUGGUCUCUGCUGUGCUGGUGAGGGUGGCGAAGGGAGGAAGGAACAUCAUCUCUUGCCUUUGGACAUGAAGCUUAAAUCCAACUGAAACUCUUCCAACAUUGAAGCAAUUCAACAUGAUGAAGAGCAUUAUUGCCGGAACAAAACAUCUAAAGUUGAGCCAAUAUCAAAUACAUUGGGAGUGGAGAUGGGUGCAGCUGAAAUGGAUGAAAUAAGUGCUCCUGCGAAUGAUGGUUUUGGAGGGAAUUUCUUACGUAGUUAUAUCAUCUCCUGCAGGACUAGAGAACGACGGUGCAAGUGUAGAAUGCGGAAGCGGUGAUGAGGAUAAGAACAAAGGAGACAAGCCGAUACAAUGUAUCGAUGAACUUAAUGAAGAUGAAAGGGAGGAACUUGAGUUACUAAUUGAUAAUGCUUUGGAUCGGUGUUUUUUCUGCUUAUAUGGUCUCAACCUUCUAUCUAAUUAUUCUAAUGAUGAUGACGAUCUAGCCACUCACAAAAAUACUAGUCGUGGAGAUUAUCAGACCAAGGAACAAAGCGCUGAUGUUUUUCAGUAUAUACUGCCAAGUGCAAAGGCUUCAUCUGUGAGUAUCCUCUCUGUCAACUUCAUCUGUAUAUGCAUCUGUGCAUCAUUAUCUGACUUGUUUAAUUAUUGCCAAGGGGUCUGCACGUAACUGCAGUGCUUGUUUAUGGUAUCUCGUGCCUACACCUUUUCCAGGCAUAAUCAACCUUGGAAAUCCCAAGGCUCGUAUAAAUUUCUGAUUUCAUUCCUUGUUACGUUAUAUUUAUUUGAAUCUAUUCAUUGUGAAUAUUCCAUGCAUGUCAGAAUUGCUUCGUAGCACUCUUAUAGAUAGGAAAAUAGAAGAAAUGACAUGGAAAUGCAUGAGCUAACUCCACAUGUAACUCAAUUUUGAGGCCCUAUCGAGCUAUGUAAAUCAACAAGGAAAGUCAUGUGUUGUAAUUUUCGCUUGAAGCCAAGUAAAUAAAUAUGAGAAUUAGUUUUGUUUAUUGCAC